RNAcentral lists this ribosomal RNA (401 nucleotides) under uncultured Pseudomonas sp. RNAcentral describes it as "bacterial SSU rRNA". It matches the Rfam family "Bacterial small subunit ribosomal RNA", at positions 981 to 1382 of the family's 1533-position model. The record is from RNAcentral. Lineage: Bacteria; Pseudomonadati; Pseudomonadota; Gammaproteobacteria; Pseudomonadales; Pseudomonadaceae.
UUGACAUGCAGAGAACUUUCCAGAGAUGGAUUGGUGCCUUCGGGAACUCUGACACAGGUGCUGCAUGGCUGUCGUCAGCUCGUGUCGUGAGAUGUUGGGUUAAGUCCCGUAACGAGCGCAACCCUUGUCCUAGUUACCAGCACGUUAUGGUGGGCACUCUAAGGAGACUGCCGGUGACAAACCGGAGGAAGGUGGGGAUGACGUCAAGUCAUCACGGCCCUUACGGCCUGGGCUACACACGUGCUACAAUGGUCGGUACAAAGGGUUGCCAAGCCGCGAGGUGGAGCUAAUCCCAUAAAACCGAUCGUAGUCCGGAUCGCAGUCUGCAACUCGACUGCGUGAAGUCGGAAUCGCUAGUAAUCGUGAAUCAGAAUGUCACGGUGAAUACGUUCCCGGGCCUU